Long non-coding RNA from Oncorhynchus nerka (sockeye salmon), 1247 nucleotides. RefSeq lists it as uncharacterized. The transcript has 3 exons. Lineage: Eukaryota; Metazoa; Chordata; Actinopteri; Salmoniformes; Salmonidae. The record is from RefSeq and is a predicted model, not a curated record.
UGUGGGUGAAGUAUUCAAAGGGGCCACACCCCUUGAAGGUUUCUGGAAGCAGUGUGAACAGCCUCCCAUAAACCCUUUGUGCAGCUGCUGCACCUCAACAUCUAGACUUCCGGAACGAUCCCUCUCCUUCUGGACCAAGCACAACCACUGAAUAGCUUUCUACCGUGUUCGUAUCCUUCCUGACGAAUCAGACAGUCAGAGGACCGAGAAGGAUGUAGAAUGGCAGCUCCAACUACAACAUUUGAAGAUGUGACGGACUCCCUUCUGUCAGCUAGCAAUAUUGCUAAGGUCGGGGAUACAGUCAACUUCUACAACACCUGGGCAGACAACUAUGAUCAGGAUCAUGCACUUCUGGACUUUUACCGGCCAAGUAGUGUCUGCAAAAUGCCUGUCCUGUUUCCAUGGUGACGGGGAGACAGCUAUGGUUCUGGACUUGGCCUGUGGUCCCGGAAUGGUCGCAUCACUGACCAUUUCCGGAGACCUUCUCCCUUACCUCACCUCGCUCAUCAACUCAUCCCUGACCGCUGGCUACGUCCCUUCCGUCUUCAAGAGAGCGAGAGUUGCACCCCUUCUGAAAAAACCUACACUCGAUCCCUCCGAUGUCAACAACUACAGACCAGUAUCCCUUCUUUCUUUUCUCUCCAAAACCCUUGAACGUGCCGUCCUUGGCCAGCUCUCCCGCUAUCUCUCUCAGAAUGACCUUCUUGAUCCAAAUCAGUCAGGUUUCAAGACUAGUCAUUCAACUGAGACUGCUCUUCUCUGUAUCACGGAGGCGCUCCGCACUGCUAAAGCUAACUCUCUCUCCUCUGCUCUCAUCCUUCUAGACCUAUCGGCUGCCUUCGAUACUGUGAACCAUCAGAUCCUCCUCUCCAUCAGAUCCUCCUCUCCGAGUUGGGCAUCUCCGGCGCGGCCCACGCUUGGAUUGCGUCCUACCUGACAGGUCGCUCCUACCAGGUGGCGUGGCGAGAAUCCGUCUCCUCACCACGUGCUCUCACCACUGGUGUCCCCCAGGGCUCUGUUCUAGGCCCUCUCCUAUUCUCGCUAUACACCAAGUCACUUGGCUCUGUCAUAACCUCACAUGGUCUCUCCUAUCAUUGCUAUGCAGACGACACACAAUUAAUCUUCUCCUUUCCCCCUUCUGAUGACCAGGUGGCGAAUCGCAUCUCUGCAUGUCUGGCAGACAUAUCAGUGUGGAUGACGGAUCACCACCUCAAGCUGAACCUCGGCAAGACGGAGCUGCUCUUCCU